CUCUCUGUUUCCUGAGUUCAAAUGCACACAGCCAGCUUCCUGCUCCUGCCACACAAUGCUGUCCCUGCAUGCUGUCAUGUCUUUCCCAAGACAAUGAUGGCUCUAUCUUCCCAAUGUGACUCCGCGCCCCUGAGAAGAACUGUGCUAACAACAACAUCAACAGAGCCCAGUAUUACUGGGGAAGAAGACAUUUGCCACAGUUCAGCUGGCUCCAAGGAGGCUGUGAGUGACACAUAUUCUCCUCAGUGCCUUCAGAGGCGACUUGGUUUUGUUUUUUAGAAGAAGGCAGUCAAGAAGAAAGAAAAAAAUGGAAUGAUUUAUGUAGCAUUCUGAAAAUGUUACCCAUCAAAUCCUGGAAAUCUCUGAAACGUUUAUGGUGCUGAAGAUGAUGAAUGUUGACCUUCCUCUUCUGUCAUCUUCCUCUGGCUGUGAUAAGACAUAAUCGUUUCCAAACCAUGCCACAUCAGAGAGUAACCCAGGACCGGCUUUCCUAGCCUUAUCCACAUCCAACCUCAGGAGAGACUGUGAGCAAACAAAUCUCAGAUUACACACACUAACAGGUGGGUCUGCCAAAGAUGCUGCUGACUUCUGGGACCCAAUUUCUUUCAGUCCAGGGCCAUCAUGACAAGUGACUCUUGGAGAACAUUCUGCCACGACACCUGCCUGGUGCAACACAGGGUCUUGCAGGGCAGAGCUGGCCAUAUGAACAAAGGCGGGCUUUCAGAGGGAGGUGGCACUGUCUAUACAAACUGCUUUUAAAGUGGGAUACAGUCCCUCUGUAGGGAAAGCUAGCUUUCCCCAUGCAACCUUGAAGUUUUAACCACUGCAGUACCCUCCCUCUGGCCCUUGGUCCUCCAUUGAAGCAAAGCAUUUGAGACCCUGGCUGCACUUGAGGCUCACAAAGCUCCAUUUUAAACCAGGAAGGGCACACCCGGGCAUGGCUGCUGUAACGCACAGCCAGAGAAUGGCUAAGGGAAUGGAGAGGUUGGAAACUCCAUCUGGGAACACUCAGCUCAAAGCUGUUUGCCCCAUUGGCCUCUGUAGAAUCUGCCCUGGUAACUAAGGCAGGCCAGCCUUUGAAAGUCAGGGGAAAGACAGCCCCGGACUCUUGAGGACCCAGAGUAAACUCACAAGGUCUGUGAGCCAGGCACCCAGUGAACUAGAGUUCUCUGCCAUCUCCUGAGGUGACAGGAAUCUGUACUGGGAGCUAUGCUAAGGCCUUUUGAGUUUUAAUUGUCUUAUAAUUCUUAGCAUCAACCUGCAAGGAAGGUAUUAAUGGGUGCUUUUGUAGAGGGAGAAACUGAGGCUCAGAAAUAGGAAACAAUUCACCCAAGGUCACACAGCUAGGAGGAGAUGUAAGUCCGACCUGUUCUGAAGCUGGAGCCAGCCUGGAGAGGAACCAGGCAGCAAUUACGGAAGUACCAAGUACAAGCGUAAGUCAAAAUAAUUGCUGCUGAAGCAGGCUGUCUCAGAAAAAAAUCUUUAGUGACAAUUCCUUAAACAGAAGAGGAAGAAAAAUAAUUUAGAAUUCUUGAUGACAUUUUGGGGCAGAGCUUCAAAGUUCCCCAAAUAAGUAGUGAAUGCCAUCAAAAGGACACCGUGGAGUGGCUGAAUCACAGGCGCAGGGUGCCAAGAAUGAGCAGAGAGAAGAAGACAUUUGACACUAUGCUCUUUGGAUUGUUAACAACAUCUGAAAAUCUCUCUAAAUCAGCACAUUUCCUAGACAGCUGCAAUCCACUCUGGGAAGCCUGUCAGCCACCGAUUAAUUCCCGAUCAAUGAGAAACCACAUGACAGCAAAUAAACCAGGCCACGCCUGGGAGGUUUGUGGGCCUGGGGUCAAAUCAAAGGCUUACCCUUUCUGAGUAGAGUUCAAAACCAAACUCUGAGCUAACGAAACCAUUUUCAUUAUAAAGAACCCAGCCUCAGGUGUUUUAUUAUAGCAUCAGAGAAUGGACAAAUACAAGGACCAAAUUAAAAAAGAGAGAAAGAAGUUGAUGAGAUGAGCCUGAAGAUAGGAAUGUGCCCCUGAAGCGGGACUUGUAGUAAAAAGCCAGCUGGCAGCUGUGAUUGCUGCUGCUCCAACAUAACAGAGAAAAUGAACCAAGAGGGACUAAAUGCUGACUUGGGGCAGGUUCUCUAAGUAAGUUACAUAGCUGCCUGCACUCUGUGGCAUGGCUUUGCACCGUAGAGAAAAAGCCACAUGGGAAUAGGGGGAAAUGACUCCAGUUCAUUUAUAGUCACAAAACACAAGUUUGUUUUAGACAUGUCUGGAUCUCUGUUAUGAUUUCUAAGAGUGGGACAAUGUCUUCUAAAUUCAUGUGGCCAUGAGCCAAUUAAAUAUUUACUGAUGCAAGGGAGGUGUUCUGGAGAAGUCAGUUGGGUGAAAGACAGUAGCAGGGCCUAAGAACAUACACACAAUAUAGCCAAAUGAAUGUAACACACACACACACACACACACACACACACACACACUCCCAGGCUGUGGCCUGUUGGGUCUAGCUGCCUCUUGAUCACCAAUGGUGGAUCACCAAGUAGAUCCAAGCAGUGUUUAAAGAUCCAGGAGGGGCUGGGGAGAAGGCUCAGUUGGGAAAGUGCUUGUUGGACAAGCAUGAGGACCUGUGUUUGGCUCCCCAGCAUCUGUGUAAAAAGCGGGUGUGAAAGCCUAUGCCAGAAUCCUAGCCCUGGGGAGGCAGAGCUAGGAGCUCUUUGGGGCUUUACUGGCUCUGAAUCAAUGAGCUCCAGGUUCAGUAAAGACCUUGUCUCAAAAAAGAAAGUGGAGGGACUGGGGCUAUGCUCAGUGGUUGAGAACACUUAGUGCUUUGCUGAGGACCAAAGUUUGGUUCCUAGCAGCCACACGGAGCAGCUCACAACUGCUUCUAACUCUAGCUUAGGGGAUUCAACAUACUAUUCCAGCUUUGGUGAAUACCUGCCCUUACAUGUACCUACCCACAUACAAACACAUACACUCUAAAAUAUAAUAAAUGUUAAACAAGUAAGGUGAACAACUGAAGAAGGCAUCCAGUGUUAACCUUUGGCUUCCACUGCAUGUACAUGUAUAUGUGAACAUACACACAAUAUAGCCAAAUGAAUGUAACACACACACACACACACACACACACACACACACACACACACACGAUUCAGAAGGAGCUCCCCAGGCUGUGGGAGAGGCCAUUUGCAUGCCUGGCUGACCUCUGGCUGGUCUGUUGUGACAUUAUUUAUCCUGUAAGGGAAACAUUAACAAGCAAAGUACGCUAGAGAGACCCCAAGGUGGGAAGGAAAAUCGUUACCCACCACUGGAGAAAACAAAUUUAUAAAUAGCUGUUCUACUCCCCUCCCUUUAGAUCAGGGAGGGCAGGGGGCAAAAACCGGAAAGCAGAGCUUUGGGGAUGAGUCACUGGGCUCUACAGAGGGAUGUUCCACUUGGCCAUUCCAAAAGUGGAUUGCUAAUUAGAUCAAGCACCCAGUAACAGGGUCUAUAUGCACUACGACAUUACAUAACCCCAGGCAAUCAGACAAGUCUUGGUGUCCUACAGAACUGAGGGGCGUGCUUAAAUCUGAGGUAGGUCCACCAGCAGAGGUCAGGGUGAGGGGAGUUGCCCACAAUGCUCAAUGGAAGGCCCUGUCCCAUUUCUAUUAGCUGCAGGCGCAGGCUGGCAGAUGGAAACGCACAGAAUUUACCCGUUUCACUUCACAACAACGUACAUCUCUCUUGGACAGUGCGCUUCCUAACGGUGCAUUUACCCACUCUGGGUGGGUAAAUUCAACUAAUAUUGACUGUGUGCCAACUCCAUGCCAGGAGGCCCUGUGCUCAGACGUGCAGGUCAGCACUGAUAACACACUGUGCUCGUGGAACACAUAGUCUACUACGCUGGUAGCUCUUGAGUUCUGGGAAAAAACAAAAAACAAAAAACAAAAACAAAUCACUGAGCACUGCUUUUCCCUUGCUAGGGAUCCUGAGGGUCAGAGAAGGGAACCAGUUUGCCGCAGACAUAGGAUAUAUGGUACAGUCAGGACUCAACUUGAUUGAGCAGGAUCCCAGCAUCUUUAUACAUAAGCCCAAUCACUCUCCUCAUGAUAAAAAGUCUGUGUGACUGUAUCCUCGGUUGAAGCUCCUUCCACUCUUUGCUACACAUCCCAAAGCAUGCAACCUAUAGUCGAGUUGUAAACCUAUGAUGUUACAGCAAGAGAGUACGGAACUAGCAACAGGCAAACGGUACAUGGGUAAACUGUGAGGUGCCAUGCUGUCGAGAGUCCUUUCCCAGCAGGGCCAAUGAG
This is a long non-coding RNA of Mus musculus (house mouse), 4279 nucleotides long. RefSeq annotates it as predicted gene, 39888. NCBI's taxonomy places the organism in Eukaryota, Metazoa, Chordata, Mammalia, Rodentia, Muridae. The record is from RefSeq and is a predicted model, not a curated record. The transcript is spliced from 2 exons.